This 619-nucleotide ribosomal RNA is filed under the name Micrococcus sp. Its description in RNAcentral is "bacterial SSU rRNA". It matches the Rfam family "Bacterial small subunit ribosomal RNA", at positions 65 to 699 of the family's 1533-position model. The record is from RNAcentral. Lineage: Bacteria; Bacillati; Actinomycetota; Actinomycetes; Micrococcales; Micrococcaceae.
GGUCAUCAAACCUUUCAGGGUGUAGUAAUAAUUUAUUUUUUUUUUUUUUGUGAGUAANCUGCCCUUAACUCUGGGAUAAGCCUGNGAAACUGGGUCUAAUACCGGAUAGGAGCGUCCACCGCAUGGUGGGUGUUGGAAAGAUUUAUCGGUUUUGGAUGGACUCGCGGCCUAUCAGCUUGUUGGUGAGGUAAUGGCUCACCAAGGCGACGACGGGUAGCCGGCCAUGAGAGGGUGACCGGCCACGCUGGGACUGAGACACGGCCCAUACUCCUACGGGAGGCAGCAGUGGGAGAAUAUUGCACAAUGGGCGCAAGCCUGAUGCAGCGACGCCGCGUGAGGGAUGACGGCCUUCGGGUUGUAAACCUCUUUCAGUAGGGAAGAAGCGAAAGUGACGGUACCUGCAGAAGAAGCACCGGCUAACUACGUGCCAGCAGCCGCGGUAAUACGUAGGGUGCGAGCGUUAUCCGGAAUUAUUGGGCGUAAAGAGCUCGUAGGCGGUUUGUCGCGUCUGUCGUGAAAGUCCGGGGCUUAACCCCGGAUCUGCGGUGGGUACGGGCAGACUAUAGUGCAGUAGGGGAGACUGGAAUUCCUGGUGUAGCGGUGGAAUGCGCAUAUAUCA